This is a non-coding RNA of Cricetulus griseus (Chinese hamster), 534 nucleotides long. Lineage: Eukaryota; Metazoa; Chordata; Mammalia; Rodentia; Cricetidae. The record is from RefSeq and is a predicted model, not a curated record.
CUCUGGACCGCCGCCCUCGGGUCACGUGGACAGCGAGCUGGCUCAGGCUAUUGACUUUUUCAAGAAUUAAAUUUGAUCCAAGUUUAUGGCGUGCUCCAGGUUCCCCCACGUUUUACCAUUUGAGAAAAGAGUCUGUAUGUGACCCAGACCUUGAACAUAAUCCCCUGACAGGUAGAUGGGGGCGGGGAAAGAUGGAGAGGAGCCGAGAGAGAGAAUAACCAAGACACACUUGGACGAAGGAAACAGGGCUUAUCUGGAGAUUUUACAGUACCAGAUGCUGCAAAGAGAAAAAGCAAAUAACUGCAUGAAUGCACUGUCUGGAAUAGCCAACAGACCUGCCUUCAAGUUCCUGGCUCAUCUCGCAGUGAUGGAUUGCAAGCCGGAAUUGUCAACCAAAUAAACCUUUCUCCCGGAUAUUGCUUUUUGUUACACUAUUUCAUCAACUGUGGCGUAGAAAAGUAUUUCAGACUCUCCCUAGAUGAUAAAACUGUGAAGCAGAAUUUGUUAAAAUAAAUAAUAGUAAAGAGCAUUGAA